AGAAACUAACAAGGAUUCCCCUAGUAACUGCGAGUGAAGCGGGAAAAGCUCAAAUUUAAAAUCUGGCAGUCUUUUGGCUGUCCGAGUUGUAAUCUAGAGAAGUGUUAUCCGCGCUGGACCAUGUACAAGUCUCCUGGAAUGGAGCAUCAUAGAGGGUGAGAAUCCCGUCUUUGACAUGGACUUCCAGGGCUUUGUGAUGCGCUCUCAAAGAGUCGAGUUGUUUGGGAAUGCAGCUCAAAAUGGGUGGUAAAUUCCAUCUAAAGCUAAAUAUUGGCGAGAGACCGAUAGCGAACAAGUACCGUGAGGGAAAGAUGAAAAGAACUUUGGAAAGAGAGUUAAACAGUACGUGAAAUUGCUGAAAGGGAAACGCUUGAAGUCAGUCGCGUCGUCCAGGGAUCAACCUUGCUUUUGCUUGGUGCACUUCCUGGUUUGAUGGGUCAGCAUCAAUUUUGACUAUUGGAAAAAGGUUAAGGGAAUGUGGCAUCUUUGGAUGUGUUUAUAGCCCUUGGUCACAUACAAUGGUUGGGAUUGAGGAACUCAGCACGCCGCAAGGCCGGGUUUUAAACCACGUACGUGCUUAGGAUGCUGGCAAUAUGGCUUUAAUCGACCCGUCUUGAAACACGGACCAAGGAGUCUAACAUGCCUGCGAGUGUUUGGGUGAAAAACCCGAGCGCGUAAUGAAAGUGAAAAGUUGAGAUCCCUGUCGUGGGGAGCAUCGACGCCCGGACCAGACCUUUUGUGACGGUUCCGCGGUAGAGCAUGUAUGUUGGGACCCGAAAGAUGGUGAACUAUGCCUGAAUAGGGUGAAUCCAGAGGAAACUCUGGUGGAGGCUCGUAGCGAUUCUGACGUGCAAAUCGAUCGUCAAAUUUGGGUAUAGGGGCGAA
Molecule: ribosomal RNA, 885 nt
Filed under: Cortinarius traganus
Lineage: Eukaryota; Fungi; Basidiomycota; Agaricomycetes; Agaricales; Cortinariaceae
Description: eukaryotic LSU rRNA
Rfam family: Eukaryotic large subunit ribosomal RNA
Source: RNAcentral